GUCGUAACAAGGUUUCCGUAGGUGAACCUGCGGAAGGAUCAUUAUCGUUCCUUCACCCGCACCCUGCGUACUGUUUCGUUUUAGCUUCGAUGGGCUGAUUCCGCCCGGGAUCAGUUGAUCGUCGCGCACCCUGCUUCGGCAGACGUGUUCAGCUGUAGUGGGCUCUUCCCUCGCGGAGGCUCGCUCGGCGCCCCUCGCGUUAGUGUGCUGGCUCUGCCACGCCCUAAUGCCCUCAACUCUAAAAUACACAACUCUUGUCGAUGGAUAUCUUGGCUCGAGCAACGAUGAAGAACGCAGCGAAAUGCGAUACGUAGUGCGAAUUGCAGAAUUCAGUGAAUCAUCGAACCUUUGAACGCAAAUGGCACUUCCAGAUUCCGUCUGGAAGUACACUUCCUCCAGUGGCGCCACCACCCCCCUCGGGCGCGAGCCGCGCCCGGAUCGUGGCCGCCGGCGUGCUUUCGAGCGUGCCGCCGGCUCAAGGGUCGAGCGCUGCUAUUGGUGCCGCGUGCGCGUCGGCUUUCCCUCGCGGAGAGUCGAUGCGGCCGAUGUGCUAAGUGUUUAUCUCUAAACAUCAGUCGUCGGUUCGAGCGCGUGUGCCUCUGGCGCGGAGGUUUGAGGUCUUCUUGACUCUCAGCCCCCACCGAUUGGUUGCUUGCAACCACUUGUCUAUCGCCAUGGAGUGACGUGAGGCUACCCGCUGAACUUAAGCAUAUCACUAAGCGGAGGAGAAGAAAACAACCGUGAUGCCCCUAGUAAUGGCGAAUGAAGCGGGCAGAGCUCACGCCGCCAAUCUGGAGGCCCUCGCGGCCCCCCGAAUUGUAGUCUAGAAAGGCGCCAUCGGCCGCGUCCGCCGCUCAAAUCCCUUGGAACAGGGUAUCGGAGAAGGUGAGAAUCCUGUACCGUGGUGGUUCGCGGCCGCACGAUGCGCCCUUGCAGAGUCGGGUUGCUUGGGAUUGCAGCUUGAAGUGGGUGGUAAAUUCCAUCUAAAGCUAAAUAUUGGCUCGAGACCGAUAGCGAACAAGUACCGUGAGGGAAAGAUGCAAAGAACUUUGAAAGGAGAGUUAAAGAGUGCUUGAAAUCGGCGAGAGGAAACCCGUAUGUGCCUGGUUUCGUGUCGUCAACUCAACCGUCUCGUAGCGGUGCACUUUGGCGUCACGGGUCCGCCGCGUCUAUGCGUUCGAUAUACCAUUCCAGUAGGGCUUCGGUGAGCUGGUUGAUCAUCGCGCGCGUGGCCCCGGCGGACGGAACAGGCACAUCCGACCCGUCUAGAAACACGGACCAAGGAGUCUGACACGGAUGCGAGUACCCGGGUGGUAAGCCCGCGUGCGCAAUGAAAGUAAAGGGCGUGCCCCGCCAACCGACCUUGAUUUUCUAUGAAGGGUUUGAGUCGAGCAUCACUGUCGGGACCCGAAAGAUGGUGAACUAUGCGUGA
RNAcentral lists this ribosomal RNA (1432 nucleotides) under Chrysochromulina simplex. RNAcentral's name for it is "eukaryotic LSU rRNA". The stretch from base 671 to 1432 matches the Rfam family "Eukaryotic large subunit ribosomal RNA", at positions 1 to 840 of the family's 3401-position model. Lineage: Eukaryota; Haptophyta; Prymnesiales; Chrysochromulinaceae. The record is from RNAcentral.